CCUGUACGAUCACCGAAGUUAAGCAACGUCAAGACUGGUCAGUACCUAGAUGGGUGACCUCUUAGGAAUAUCAGGUGCUGUAA
Molecule: non-coding RNA, 83 nt
Organism: Acanthosepion pharaonis
Lineage: Eukaryota; Metazoa; Mollusca; Cephalopoda; Sepiida; Sepiidae
Source: the annotation of a GenBank genome assembly